GGGAUAACAGGCUAGUUCCGCCCAAGCGUUCAUAGCGACGGCGGAGUUCGGCACCUCGAUGUCGGCUCACCACAUCCCGGAGCUGGAGAAGGUUCCAAGGGUUUGGCUGUUCGCCAAUUAAAGUGGUACGCGAGCUGGGUUCAGACCGUUCAGGGGACUGCAGUCCUUUGAACAGUCUGAAUCCGAUCGAAGGGAAGUGUUGUCUGAAGUCAUAAAAGGUUUUUUCGUCGAAAAAAAGAAAGAGUAGACAGAGCCAAUCACGGCGGUCGCACGCAGGAAUGCGUGCGAAGAAUUCGACUGAUAUCGGUGGAACCCCGCACGGCGGGGCAAUACCGAGGGAAGCGUACGCAGCAGCACCCGUAUGAGUACAUACGGCUUGCUCUCUCGACGAAAGAGAAAAUGAACAAGCUCAUUUUGCUCUUUCCGUCUCGUUCGCACCCGUAGAGACUGAAUGUCGAAUACCCAGAACGGGUAAAGUUACAGUCCAAUGCACUCAGUAAUGAGUGAGAUACAUGCGUGAGACAGGUUGGUCUCCUAUCUACUAUGAGCGUUGAUUCUUGAGGAGAGUCGUCCUUAGUACGAGAGGACCGGGAUGAACUGACCUCUGGUCUACCUGUUGUCGCGCCAGCGGCACUGCAGGGUAGCUAUGUCGGGACGGGAUAACCGCUGAAAGCAUCUAAGCGGGAAGCCCACUCCAAGAUUAGGAAUCGUUGAGGCCCGUGAGAGAUGAUCACGUUGAUAGGCUCUACGUGUAAGCGCCGUAAGGCGUUGAGCGGAGGAGUACUAAUUCGCCCAUCUUCUGCGGGGA
RNAcentral lists this ribosomal RNA (808 nucleotides) under Patescibacteria group bacterium. RNAcentral describes it as "partial 23S ribosomal RNA". It matches the Rfam family "Bacterial large subunit ribosomal RNA", at positions 2471 to 2925 of the family's 2925-position model. The record is from RNAcentral.